GGUGUUCCUAUUCCAAAUGCUGACAAAAAUAUGUUGUCCAAAUAUUUGUGGGUGAAUGUGUGUAUCAGGUGGACAGUGAUGGUCCAGGAUGUGGGUGCGGAACUACAGAAGGCUCAAAGUGCCCUGAAUCUCUGGCGGGACUACAGCAUGCUCUAUGGAGACUGCUCUGUGCGUUUGAGCCGCCAAUGGCAGAAGUAUGAAGUGCUCUUUAGCCCCCUGGCCAAAGAGGAGAACAGCAUGGAGCUGCUUCAUAGCAGGCUUAAUGCCAUCAGCGUUUUGGAGAAUGAAAUGGAAGCCUUGCAGAACAAUGUUGCAGAUUUAUUGAUGGCCUCUAAGCCUCUCAUUGCACAGAUGGAGUCCCAUGCAGCCCCUCUGAUCCAGACAGAGACCAGGCUGCUGUCACGUGAUCUUGUGCGUCUGGGCCAGGCAUUGGUUAGAAGACAGGUAGAGCUCCAGGAGGAACUGGAAGAGCAUGUCAGCUUUAAUACUGAUUUGGAAUCUUUAGAGCAGCAUCUGAAGAGCUAUGAAAACUUAAUAGCCUCCACCACUGCAAGCACAGAGUGCCUAAAGGUAAACCAGUUAAUACCUUUCUCUUCUACCCCAAAACAGGUAUAGUUGCCUUAUAGUUAUUAUUAUUUUCUGUUGUAAGUAACUGUAGUCUCUCAUAAACAGAUUUUUCACUUGUUCACAUUCUUCUUCUCUCUCUUUUUGUGCUUUGUAAGCUGGGUCUUAUGGAGCAGAGUGGUCUGACACCUGACCUUGGAGAUUUGAAUAAACGCAGCCUAACACUGACCCUUAGUGCAUCUCACCUGCAACUCCUCAACACACAGUGGAUGCAGGUCUUCUCUCAAGCCACAGCCAAACACAGGUGCACUAUUUGAAUAGUUUGAAUGAUCAGUUUUUUUGUCAAUUUUCCUUUGCAGUAUCUCACCUGA
This is a long non-coding RNA of Pygocentrus nattereri (red-bellied piranha), 935 nucleotides long. NCBI's taxonomy places the organism in Eukaryota, Metazoa, Chordata, Actinopteri, Characiformes, Serrasalmidae. The record is from Ensembl.